This 214-nucleotide ribosomal RNA is filed under the name uncultured bacterium. Its description in RNAcentral is "partial 16S ribosomal RNA". It matches the Rfam family "Bacterial small subunit ribosomal RNA", at positions 323 to 524 of the family's 1533-position model. The record is from RNAcentral.
GUUGCCGCCCAGCAGCCGCGACGGGAGGCAGCAGUGGGGAAUUUUGGCACACAAUGGGCGCAAGCCUGAUCCAGCCAUGCCGCGUGAGUGAAGAAGGCCUUCGGGUUGUAAAGCUCUUUCAGUUGGGAAGAAACGAUUACAACUAAUAAUUGUAAUUAAUGACGGUACCGACAGAAGAAGCACCGGCUAACUACGUGCCAGCAGCCGCGGUAAU